UACGUAGGGGGCAAGCGUUGUCCGGAAUUACUGGGCGUAAAGGGCGCGUAGGCGGCCCGCUAAGUCGAACGUGAAAUCCCCGAGCUCAACUCGGGAACUGCGUCCGAUACUGGCGGGCUUGAAUCCGGGAGAGGGAUGCGGAAUUCCAGGUGUAGCGGUGAAAUGCGUAGAUAUCUGGAGGAACACCGGUGGCGAAGGCGGCAUCCUGGACCGGCAUUGACGCUGAGGCGCGAAAGCUAGGGGAGCAAACGGG
RNAcentral lists this ribosomal RNA (253 nucleotides) under uncultured bacterium. Its description in RNAcentral is "partial 16S ribosomal RNA". It matches the Rfam family "Bacterial small subunit ribosomal RNA", at positions 524 to 776 of the family's 1533-position model. The record is from RNAcentral.